This is a long non-coding RNA of Lynx canadensis (Canada lynx), 1172 nucleotides long. RefSeq lists it as uncharacterized. The record is from RefSeq and is a predicted model, not a curated record. The transcript has 2 exons. NCBI's taxonomy places the organism in Eukaryota, Metazoa, Chordata, Mammalia, Carnivora, Felidae.
CCUGUCAACAAGAGAACACGGGCCUCUGCUGACGGGCACCGGGAGCCCUUUGCUUGCAGCCACCGUGGAAACGCAGCGUCAUUACAAAUCCCAAGUUGUCCCCUCACGGUGAGUCACAGGGCCUCUCAGAACCCAGCGGCUAUUUAUAGAUGAGGAAGUGUCCCCUGAGAGGAUUACAGCUGGACAGUCAACACAGGGCCAAUUUCCCAUGUCAGGUUUACGAUGGACAUAUUGUUUAAGUGCCAAAGUAACACUGCAGGAUCAGACACACUAAUGGAAAAGCUUUUAGACUUCUUGAAACAUAGAAUAAGGGAUUUUCAAACUAAGAGACUUCCUGAAGUCCCCUGAAAUAUCUGGAAAAAACAGAAUUACAGCUACGGUUUUCUACGUUUUCAAUAGCGAACGGAAGGCUGAAGUGCCCUUCGGGGUCUCUUCUGCUGGCUUUCUUCUUUACUACAGAGCUUCUACAGAGAUCCAACUGCAGAGACCCCCAACCCAAAGAAACCUAGGUACUCCUGGAGUCGGCCACUUAGAUGUCGCAAAGGGACUUUAAAUCUCUCGCCACCAUACUGAGAAGAACAGAAGAAGAGAAUGAAUCCUCUCCUGGAGGGAGUGAAGGUGUGACCCAUGAGGCGCUGACACCCGCUGCAGCCCGGGAGAGGACGAUGCGGUCUCCAAGACAGACACGAAUGCCCGCAGGGCAGCCACAGCAUCUCCAGCGGCCCGGGCCCUAGAACGAGUCUCCUGCGAGAAGCUCCGGCACCGAUCCAAGCCUCCCUUGGACCGGGGAGAAGAAAAUGUACCCUUCACCCCACGAUGUGCGUAGGCUGAACGUGGAGCAAGGAGCCCUGUCGGUGCCUCAGUGGCCCUGCCAACCUUGACCUGCUGACCCCCGUCCAGGAGCCUCCAGUUUCCUGUACCUUCCCGCCUCCCGGGUUCCCUCCUGCUGCCACACCUCGGGUGCCCCGCUCUCCCACCGCUGACUGAAGUCCCCAGCAACCUCCGUCAUGACUCUCCUUAGUCAACUGUGACUUCUUCCCUGUCGCUUUGAUUUGCACUGUCUUUUCUAACACUGAUCAUGCCUCUGAACGCGGGCCCUGGCUCCGCCUCCCUCGGUCUAUCUGCGUCUUGCCGAGGGCUCUGUGCGUGUGCUUAAUAAACAUUUGCUGAAA